UCCGAUAUGGUGUAGUGGCUAACAUUAUCGCCUCUCAAUUAGGUCGCAAUAGCCCGGGGUUCAAUUCCCCGUGUCGGAA
Molecule: transfer RNA, 79 nt
Organism: Sphaerobolus stellatus SS14
Lineage: Eukaryota; Fungi; Basidiomycota; Agaricomycetes; Geastrales; Sphaerobolaceae
Rfam family: tRNA
About the family: Transfer RNA (tRNA) molecules are approximately 80 nucleotides in length. Their secondary structure includes four short double-helical elements and three loops (D, anti-codon, and T loops). Further hydrogen bonds mediate the characteristic L-shaped molecular structure. tRNAs have two regions of fundamental functional importance: the anti-codon, which is responsible for specific mRNA codon recognition, and the 3' end, to which the tRNAs corresponding amino acid is attached (by aminoacyl-tRNA synthetases). tRNAs cope with the degeneracy of the genetic code in two manners: having more than one tRNA (with a specific anti-codon) for a particular amino acid; and 'wobble' base-pairing, i.e. permitting non-standard base-pairing at the 3rd anti-codon position.
Source: Rfam